RNAcentral lists this ribosomal RNA (253 nucleotides) under uncultured bacterium. RNAcentral describes it as "partial 16S ribosomal RNA". It matches the Rfam family "Bacterial small subunit ribosomal RNA", at positions 524 to 776 of the family's 1533-position model. The record is from RNAcentral.
UACGUAGGGGGCAAGCGUUAUCCGGAUUUACUGGGUGUAAAGGGAGCGUAGACGGCAGGGCAAGUCUGGAGUGAAAGGCAGGGGCCCAACCCCUGGACUGCUCUGGAAACUGUCCGGCUGGAGUGCAGGAGAGGUAAGUGGAAUUCCUAGUGUAGCGGUGAAAUGCGUAGAUAUUAGGAGGAACACCAGUGGCGAAGGCGGCUUACUGGACUGCAACUGACGUUGAGGCUCGAAGGCGUGGGGAGCAAACAGG